CCGGGCGACGGUUGUCCCGGUUUAAGCGUGUAGGCUGGUUUUCCAGGCAAAUCCGGAAAAUCAAGGCUGAGGCGUGAUGACGAGGCACUACGGUGCUGAAGCAACAAAUGCCCUGCUUCCAGGAAAAGCCUCUAAGCAUCAGGUAACAUCAAAUCGUACCCCAAACCGACACAGGUGGUCAGGUAGAGAAUACCAAGGCGCUUGAGAGAACUCGGGUGAAGGAACUAGGCAAAAUGGUGCCGUAACUUCGGGAGAAGGCACGCUGAUAUGUAGGUGAAGUCCCUCGCGGAUGGAGCUGAAAUCAGUCGAAGAUACCAGCUGGCUGCAACUGUUUAUUAAAAACACAGCACUGUGCAAACACGAAAGUGGACGUAUACGGUGUGACGCCUGCCCGGUGCCGGAAGGUUAAUUGAUGGGGUUAGCGGUAACGCGAAGCUCUUGAUCGAAGCCCCGGUAAACGGCGGCCGUAACUAUAACGGUCCUAAGGUAGCGAAAUUCCUUGUCGGGUAAGUUCCGACCUGCACGAAUGGCGUAAUGAUGGCCAGGCUGUCUCCACCCGAGACUCAGUGAAAUUGAACUCGCUGUGAAGAUGCAGUGUACCCGCGGCAAGACGGAAAGACCCCGUGAACCUUUACUAUAGCUUGACACUGAACAUUGAGCCUUGAUGUGUAGGAUAGGUGGGAGGCUUUGAAGUGUGGACGCCAGUCUGCAUGGAGCCGACCUUGAAAUACCACCCUUUAAUGUUUGAUGUUCUAACGUUGACCCGUAAUCCGGGUUGCGGACAGUGUCUGGUGGGUAGUUUGACUGGGGCGGUCUCCUCCUAAAGAGUAACGGAGGAGCACGAAGGUUGGCUAAUCCUGGUCGGACAUCAGGAGGUUAGUGCAAUGGCAUAAGCCAGCUUGACUGCGAGCGUGACGGCGCGAGCAGGUGCGAAAGCAGGUCAUAGUGAUCCGGUGGUUCUGAAUGGAAGGGCCAUCGCUCAACGGAUAAAAGGUACUCCGGGGAUAACAGGCUGAUACCGCCCAAGAGUUCAUAUCGACGGCGGUGUUUGGCACCUCGAUGUCGGCUCAUCACAUCCUGGGGCUGAAGUAGGUCCCAAGGGUAUGGCUGUUCGCCAUUUAAAGUGGUACGCGAGCUGGGUUUAGAACGUCGUGAGACAGUUCGGUCCCUAUCUGCCGUGGGCGCUGGAGAACUGAGGGGGGCUGCUCCUAGUACGAGAGGACCGGAGUGGACGCAUCACUGGUGUUCGGGUUGUCAUGCCAAUGGCACUGCCCGGUAGCUAAAUGCGGAAGAGAUAAGUGCUGAAAGCAUCUAAGCACGAAACUUGCCCCGAGAUGAGUUCUCCCUGACUCCUUGAGAGUCCUGAAGGAACGUUGAAGACGACGACGUUGAUAGGCCGGGUGUGUAAGCGCAGCGAUGCGUUGAGCUAACCGGUACUAAUGAACCGUGAGGCUUAACCUUACAAC
Molecule: ribosomal RNA, 1466 nt
Filed under: Escherichia coli
Lineage: Bacteria; Pseudomonadati; Pseudomonadota; Gammaproteobacteria; Enterobacterales; Enterobacteriaceae
Description: partial 23S ribosomal RNA
Rfam family: Bacterial large subunit ribosomal RNA
Source: RNAcentral